GUGGGGAAUAUUGGACAAUGGGCGAAAGCCUGAUCCAGCCAUGCCGCGUGUGUGAAGAAGGUCUUCGGAUUGUAAAGCACUUUAAGUUGGGAGGAAGGGCAGUAAGUUAAUACCUUGCUGUUUUGACGUUACCGACAGAAUAAGCACCGGCUAACUUCGUGCCAGCAGCCGCGGUAAUACGAAGGGUGCAAGCGUUAAUCGGAAUUACUGGGCGUAAAGCGCGCGUAGGUGGUUUUGUAAGUUGGAGGUGAAAUCCCCGGGCUCAACCUGGGAACUGCCACCAAAACUGCAUGACUAGAGUACGGUAGAGGGUAGUGGAAUUUCCUGUGUAGCGGUGAAAUGCGUAGAUAUAGGAAGGAACACCAGUGGCGAAGGCGACUACCUGGACUGAUACUGACACUGAGGUGCGAAAGCGUGGGGAGCAAACAGGAUUAGAUACCCUUGUAGUCC
This 450-nucleotide ribosomal RNA is filed under the name uncultured bacterium. RNAcentral describes it as "partial 16S ribosomal RNA". It matches the Rfam family "Bacterial small subunit ribosomal RNA", at positions 354 to 796 of the family's 1533-position model. The record is from RNAcentral.